This 714-nucleotide long non-coding RNA is filed under the name Piliocolobus tephrosceles (Ugandan red Colobus). Its description in RNAcentral is "lncRNA (ENSPTEG00000018846.1)". Lineage: Eukaryota; Metazoa; Chordata; Mammalia; Primates; Cercopithecidae. The record is from RNAcentral.
CCGAGAGGAAAUUGAAUUGUACAAAGGGUUUUUAUUAAUUCCAUCUAUUUUUAAAGCCAGAAGGACAUAGUACCAGCUUGCUGUCUCUCGGCGCGCGCGCACACACACACACACACACACACACACACACACACACACGCGUGCGCGCGCUACAUCAGCAUGGGAUUCUGGCUAUCCCUCCCCGCCCCCAGCAGCCCCCGCCCUCAGCAGCCCCCUCCCCCGGCGCAGGCAGCCUCGUCAGUCCCUCACGGGGUGGCUCCGCGCACUCCCUCACGACCGCAGCACCUACCCUGCUGGGACCUCAAGACAGACGCGGGACUGGCUGCUGCUCCGAAGGAAAAGCCUCCCAGGACCAGCACUUCACAGGACUCCAGCCGCACUAGAGGGGAGGCCGGCAGGAGCCCCGCCCUCCCAACGCCUGGGUUAUCUGAGAGCCUGAGCUACACCGCCGGGCUUCACCGACAGAAUGCGCCCUGCCUGGUUCCUCCGCAUCUGGCAUUGCUCGUUCCUUUCAAGUGCAUCAUAGAUACGUGUUGGUCACAGAUCUGGGGCUGUGGACGCGAGAAGAAAUCAUCACCAGAUAUCCUGAAGACACAUAAUGGGGGUGUUCUCACUAGGGAGCUCCGAUGAGAGAAGGAUAUAGAAGAAGAGCACAUGUUCAGUUUUAGAAACACCAAAAAUAAAAAGCUGAGUGGACUCUGAUAUGUUUUUCCU